CCUUCCUGCUACUUCAAGAUUUGGAUUUGCCACUUGUAGCAUUGGAAAAUUUGUAAAAUUGCCCAAUAAUGACGUGGUUUUGUUUUGUUUUUUGUUUUUUUUUGUUUUGUUUUAGUGAAACGUAGGAAAGUAAUUUUUCAGUGAUGAAUUUGGAUCAUUUCCAAAGUGAUACGAAUAAAGCCCCCCAGAAGACGACCUGAUAAAUGGAUCAAUUCAUGGAUUUUUAGACCCAAGUGUCCAUCCUCAUAACAGUGGCUGACACCUCCAAGAACCUCUUCAUACAGGAAAGAGCCUCACCCUUGUGGUUCUACCUGGGGAUGACUUCAUGGACAUUGUUGAAAGUUCUCUAAGGCCAGACUGCCCAGUGCAUAAACUACAAAAGGAUAAAAAUAUGGCUGUAAAAGGCAUCAUGGUCACUGGUUACUCCAUAAGAUCCCAAAAAGCUGUGGUUGUAGCUUCCCUCAGGUAGUCUUAGGACUUACCAUGAUGUUAGACUAUUCCAACCCUAUUUAAGAAUGUUGUCAAGGUGACUUACAACAUUUGAUCUCAAUAAAGUACUUUUACAAUUUUA
Molecule: long non-coding RNA, 571 nt
Organism: Pocillopora damicornis (cauliflower coral)
Lineage: Eukaryota; Metazoa; Cnidaria; Anthozoa; Scleractinia; Pocilloporidae
Source: RefSeq, a predicted model, not a curated record